CUGAAGAAAAAAUGGCGGCCAGCGCGAGGGUGCAGAAGCUCCUCCGACGAUAUAAACUAGCUAUCGCCGCUGCCUUAACCAUCCUCCUCAUCCAAAGUCUCGUCGUGUGGAGCCUGAAAAGUCUGGAAGAGGGCGAGGCGGAGAAAAAAGCAAGACGAUCUAAACUGCCCGACAACAACAGCCAGGACCAGAGGAGGGAUGCCACGGGUUUAGAAAGACACAUAGCGUUGUCUGGAAGUAACAAGGGCAAGCUGGAAAGAACCGGAGGCACGACAACCACCACACUUAGAAAAGGGGCCAGUCAAAAACAAGGAAAGCCUGGAGUCAGGCUGAAAAAUCCCCCCGAGCAGGGGCAAACCGGCACCGAAUUGGACGGUGUAGCACCCCACGACCCAUCCAGUAACCUGAGUGAGAUGCGAGGCGCCGCUGAUGUGGUGGCCAAGUUAACCGGCGCCUUGCCAGGGGAGCCAGGCAGCGUGGACGGGGCACGCCAAUCCCCCAACAGUGAUUUUGAGCCCAAAUGUGACAUCAUAAGUAAGGAUGCGUGGUCUGCUCUGCAUCGUGCUAGCUCACAGCAGUGUCGCCAGGAGAUCGCCAAUGUUGUGUGCAUGCAUCAGGCCGGGCAGCUCAUGCCGGAUGACCUUCCGCAAUUCUGCCCUCAGCCAGGCAUAUUGAGUGCUGCUCAGUCAGUUGGCGAGCUGGACAACAGCCUGGCCAACGUGGAGAACCCUGUCCGUGUGGUUUUCGUCCUGAUGGUCCACGGCCGCUCUGUACGGCAGCUCAAGCGUCUCAUUAAAGCCAUCUACCACUCUGAUCACUACUACUACAUCCAUGUAGACGAGCGGUCGGGCUACAUGCACCGGGAAGUCCUCCAAAUAGCCCAGCAGUACCCAAAUAUACGUGCCACGCCCUGGAGAAUGGUGACCAUCUGGGGUGGUGCCAGUCUGCUGAAGGCGUACCUGCGCAGCAUGCAGGACCUCCUGGCCCUGCUGGAUUGGAAGUGGGAUUUCUUCAUCAAUCUCAGUGGCACAGACUUCCCCACCAGGACUAAUGAUGAGCUGGUGGCCUUUUUAUCACAACACAGAGACAAGAACUUCCUCAAGUCCCAUGGCAGAGAGAACACCCGGUUUAUUAGAAAGCAGGGCCUCGAUCGUCUCUUUCACGAGUGUGACAACCACAUGUGGCGUUUGGGAGAGCGCAAAAUUCCCGAUGGCCUGGAAGUGUCGGGUGGCUCCGAUUGGUUUGCGCUCACCCGCCGCUUUGUGGAGUAUGUCAUCGAUUCCCAAGACGACCUGGUGUCGGGACUGAAGCAGUUCUAUUCCUAUACUCUGCUCCCUGCUGAGUCUUUCUUCCACACCGUGCUCGGAAACAGUCACAUGUGCGACAGCCUGGUGGACAACAACCUCCGUGUGACCAACUGGAAUCGUAAACUGGGCUGUAAAUGCCAGUACAAGCACAUUGUGGAUUGGUGUGGUUGCUCUCCCAAUGACUUCAAACCCCAAGACCUCAUUCGCAUCCAGCAAUUAUCCCGGCCCACGUUCUUUGCACGCAAAUUUGAGUCGUCAAUAAACCAGGAAGCCGUUGAAAUCCUGGACACGCACUUGUAUGGCCAGUACGCACCAGGAACUGUUGCCAUUAAGGCGUACUGGGAGAACCAGUUUGAGCAGAUGGAUGGCAUAGGCUCGCUGAGUGAUGUGAUGCUCACUGCUCACGCUUCCUUGUUUCGCCUGGGCUUGAACAGCCUUGCGACAACUCAGGGCAAAAAAGACGCCUGCAGGUUUGAACCUAUCGGCUACCCUUUGUCAGUGCACUUGUACUUCUACGAUGACCGCUUUCAAGGGUACUUGAUACGUCAGGAAGUUCAGGCAGUGGGAUCAAAGGUCAAGGAGGCAAUAGAGAUGUGGGCUGUGCCCCAGACGGCAUUGGUCCUUGAGAAGAGUCUUAAAGAGUUUGAAAGGCUCAAACACCUUGAGAUCGGUACAGAAUGGGAUCCAAAGGAAAGAGUAUUUCGUAAUUUCGGCGGGAUCAUCGGCCCUUUGGAUGAACCACUUGCGGUUCAGAAAUGGGUUCCCGGGCCCAACCUCACCGCCACCAUCGUGUGGAUUGACCCGGCCCAGGUGGUGGCAAUUUCGUAUGACAUCACAGUGGAUGCAGAUACAGAAUACACACAUUACAAGCCACCCCUGCAGCACCCCCUACGGCCUGGCAUUUGGACGGUGCGUGUAUUGAAACAGUGGCAGCGUGUGGCCCAACUUCAUUUCCUUAUCGUACCUUUGAGCUUCAAAGAUAAGAAGCCACUGCGCAAAGAUAAGGACAGUUGGCUGCAUGCAGGCCCACCUGGAAAUUUGUACCUGGAUCAGAGCUUCCAGCACUUGAAUUCCAUACUGAAGUUGCCGCCUCAAGAGCCUGCCAUGCUGGAAGCGCAACGAAACGCCCAGAUUGUGGGCCCGCCCCUUGACGUGUGGGUUGACUGGAGUGUGUCAAAUUUUUGGGUUACGGGAAACCUGUGCACAGUGCAGACUUCAUCUUGCACAGCUUUGGUGCCAUGCUCCAAAACUACCUGGAGCUCCCUGUCCCCGGAUCCCAAGUCUGAACUGGGCCCGGUGAAAAGUGACGGGAGAAUCAGGUAGCCCCAGUGGUGGGGAGGACAUAAAGGAAGUCUGUGCCGGAGGCUGCAAGCAGCCAUGACAGCUCCAGGAGAACUUUGUGUGUGGGAGGUUUGGCUCAAAGCUAAAGGCCACAAAAACAAUGACAUCUUGCACUGAAACGUCACAACGUUCUCGGUAGAAAUGACUUGGUGAAUGCUGGAAAUUUGCACAUUGACAUCUGCGAGCCAAGAAGCUUUUUCUUGGCUUGCAGGAUGAUAUGAAUGCCUGAUACAUUUUAUUUGUAUUAUUUUUAUGCUGACAGCAGAUGGGUGAGUGAAGCACCAAUCUUCACUAAAUAGUGAGUUUCUCCCUACUUGGGAUCAAGAUACAGUUUGAACUCAUCUAAGUCUCUUCACCGUGUUUUGUUCACAUCUGAAGAUGGAACAAAGCUCUUGUUAUGCUUAUUUUGAAGCAUUUUAUAUCGGACAUGGAACAAGUGCACUAUACUGUUAGGUAACGUUACGCAAAAUUCAGUUGAUUACAUUGCAAUGAGGAGGAGCUGAAAAAAGGUCAGUUGUUUAUCUGCUAUUGUGGGUCACAUAUGUUAACAGGCAUUCCUCUUUUUCUUUUUUUCUUUUUUUUGGCAAAGCAUUAGUUUUACACAUGUUGAAAAUGUUCACAAGGCUAAAAGCUUCAUGGUCCCAGAAAGUGUCUGGAAACCGCGAAUAGCUUCAUUCAAUGUCCACGUGCUCUUAAAAUUUGUGUUCAUGUCUUUUUUAGCCACUGCUUGCAGAGAGGAAAUUCAAAUUACAGUUUCAUGUAUGUUUGUGUAGAUGCCGUUUUUUUUUUUUUUUCCCCCCCUCAUGGGUCUGCGCUCCACUCAAGGGAGAAACACUUCAAGUGACCACAAAUGGGUAGCCAAGCAUGCAAAUCAGGAGUGAAAGAGGAAUUGAGUGUGGGGCCUGACACCUACAUUCAACAUCUCACCUAUAAUGAGGCCCGGAUACAUGAGGAGAAGGCCAAAGAAGGAGGUGCUAAUAAAUGUCAUCUAACGACGUGAGCAUCUGCCGCCAAUGAGCUCCGGGCGCAAUGAAACCAUAACCAUGGCGACCAUACUGAUCGUUUCCUGCAUCCUGCAAUGUUGUGUCAAAACACUUCAUUACACUUGCACAAUCCAAUAAGAAAGAGGUCCUGCAUGGGUUCGUUUGACAGUGAAUGCACUUUCUGCCAUGCACCCACUCACCAAGAGUUUGUUUUGCAAGAUAAAUCCCCCUCCCAACCUUCCCACAAGCUGCUGCCUUCAUCUGAGUGAUGAGAAGGGCACAGGCAUCACGGUGAGCUGUUUGUACUCAAGUUGUGACAUAACGAGGCCUUCUGGUUUUUUUCUCCCAAUUCACUGUGCAAUGCUAGUGGAAGAAGCUUCUUCUCGCUGGCAUUCAACAUCCUGUGGGGGCUUUUCUUGAUAAGGAUAAUUAUGCUCCUGUCAUGAUUGUAAGUGGUGUGACGGUGAAGCAGUCUGUUUGCUUCUGGGUGUUGGCUCCAUUGGUGUUUUAAACAAGGAUAAUAUUACGCUUUGUGAUGUGGGGGAGGAGGAGCAGACGUAAGUGUAUGAUGUGGCACUUGGCUUUAUGUCGCUGCGUUUUAUAGAGCGGCAUGGUGGAGUCUGGGAGAAUGUAAAGAGAUUGCCUUUGCCAUUUUGAUUAGAUUGAAGGUGCUCCAUGUGCAUCAGCAUGCAUUCAAGGGCAUGAUUGGACCUAUAAAACUGUCUUUGGAAUAUUUGUUUAUUGUAUUGGCGUGUUUGCAUGAGAGGAUGAAUUAUGUAAAUAAUGGAUGCCAACCAAACACUGCUCGGUAAACACACACAAUCUAAUAGGAUCCAAAUGGAGACCUGCAAUGAACAUGCAGUCCCGUAUAAAGAUAAAACUUUCCACAAGUGU
Syngnathus acus (greater pipefish) is the source of this 4525-nucleotide RNA transcript. It is a transcript of the gene named xylosyltransferase II, with no coding region annotated. The transcript is spliced from 15 exons. NCBI's taxonomy places the organism in Eukaryota, Metazoa, Chordata, Actinopteri, Syngnathiformes, Syngnathidae. The record is from RefSeq and is a predicted model, not a curated record.